RNAcentral lists this ribosomal RNA (484 nucleotides) under uncultured bacterium. RNAcentral describes it as "partial 16S ribosomal RNA". It matches the Rfam family "Bacterial small subunit ribosomal RNA", at positions 30 to 507 of the family's 1533-position model. The record is from RNAcentral.
AUUGAACGCUGGCGGCAGGCCUAACACAUGCAAGUCGAGCGGAUGAAGGGAGCUUGCUCCUGGAUUCAGCGGCGGACGGGUGAGUAAUGCCUAGGAAUCUGCCUGGGAGUGGGGGAUAACGUCCGGAAACGGGCGCUAAUACCGCAUACGUCCUGAGGGAGAAAGUGGGGGAUCUUCGGACCUCACGCUAUCAGAUGAGCCUAGGUCGGAUUAGCUAGUUGGUGGGGUAAAGGCCUACCAAGGCGACGAUCCGUAACUGGUCUGAGAGGAUGAUCAGACACCCUGGAACUGAGACACGGUCCAGACUCCUACGGGAGGCAGCAGUGGGGAAUAUUGGACAAUGGGCGAAAGCCUGAUCCAGCCAUGCCGCGUGUGUGAAGAAGGUCUUCGGAUUUUAAAGCACUUUAAGUUGGGAGGAAGGGCAGUACGUUAAUACCUUGCUGUUUUGACGUUACCAACAGAAUAAGCACCGGCUAACUUCGUG